This 1572-nucleotide ribosomal RNA is filed under the name Triticum aestivum (bread wheat). RNAcentral describes it as "partial small subunit ribosomal RNA". Lineage: Eukaryota; Viridiplantae; Streptophyta; Magnoliopsida; Poales; Poaceae. The record is from RNAcentral.
AUGGAGACGCUUCCUAUAGACCGUGUCGCUCCUCUGUCUCCUGCCAUGUCCCCUCCUCCUCGUAUCUGUACAGAUGGUUCAACAUGUACUCCUGAUUGUGAUGAUAACUUAAAACCAGCCUUGGGUAUGACAUUUGAUAGUAUGGAAGAUGUUGAGAAUUUUUACAAGGCUUAUGCACACAAUGUUGGAUUUUCAGUCAGAAUUGGGCAGAAAAAGACCAUAGAUGAUGUGGUGUGGAGGCAAUUUCUUUGUUCGAAAGAAGGUUUCCAAACGAAGAAGGAGGAGGAACGCAAGAAGGAUUUGAAGGGAGGGAAGAUAAGAACACAUGCAAGAAAGACUACCAGACAUGGUUGUGAAGCCAUGAUAACUAUCAAGCUUAUGUAGGAUGGCAAAUACUCAAUAUCAGAUUUUCAUGAAGAACACACCCAUCAAUUUGUCACACCCACCAAGCAACAUUUAAUAAAGUCUAAUAGAUAAGUCAGCGAGAAGGCCAAGACCACACCAUUCACAUGUCACACAGCUAGUAUUGGCACAUUUGGAGCCUUUCGAUUGCUUCGUGUUGGUGAGGGUGGAUUUCAGUUUGUGGGGUGCAUGAAGAGAGACUUGCAGAAUUAUCACCAUGACAUGAGAAGUACUUUCAAGGAUACAGAUGCUCAAAUGUUUAUUGACAACCUCAGAAAGAGGAAGCAAAUCAACCCAGGAUUCUUCUUUGAGUAUGUUCUUGAUGAUAAAAAUCAAUUGAAACGCGUGUUUUGGGCAGAUGCAUUUUGUAGAAAGAAUUAUGCUUUAUUUGGAGAAAUGGUGUCUUUUGACUCCACAUAUAACACAAAUCAGUACAAGAUGAUUUUUUGUCCAUUCACGGGAAUAAACCACCAUAUGGGAUCUGUUUUCUAUUUUGCUGCCUUGAUUGUUGAUGAGAACUAAGAGUCGUACAAAUGGGUGUUUGAAACAUUUUUGAAAGCCAUGGAUGGGGCAACACCGAGGCUUAUAGUAACCGAUGAAGAUGCUAGCAUGAAGGCUGCCAUUGAUAUAGUUAUGCCAAACACCGUCCAUAGAUUAUGCAUGUGGCACAUAAUGAGAAAGCUUCCAGAAAAGGUUGGUCCUUCAUUGAAAGAGGAUGAUCAUUUUUACAACUCAGUUAAUGCAUGUGUACGGGGUUCUGAAAGCCCAGCUGAAUUUGAGGCAAAGUGGUCUUCCAUGAUUUCUGAAUUUGGUCUUGAAGAAAAUACAUGGUUUGCUAGGAGAUAUGAAAUUCGUGACUCAUGGAUACCAGCCUACUUUAGAGGUGUAUUCUUGGGUGAAACUCUAAGAACCACUUCGAGGUCAGAGAGUGCUAACUCAUUCUUUAAUCACUUUAUGGGUUACAAGCAUGCUUUGGUGGAGUUUUGGAUUAGGAUUGGUACAACCCUGGAAGAACAACGUCAGAAUGAACUCAAGGCUAAUCAUGAUUGCCUCAACUCCAUGUCUCCACUGAUUACAUCAUGGGAGAUCGAGAAGCAUGCAAGCCUAUACUUCACCCAUGAGGUUUUCAAAGCUUUUCAGAAGGAGGUGCGUAGAUCACUGCUUAAUUGA